ACGGCUCAGUAACACGUCGACAACCUAACCUAUGGAGGGGGAUAACCCCGGGAAACUGGGGAUAAUACCCCAUAGACUAUGGAUGCUGGAAUGCUCUGUAGUUGAAAGGUCCGCCGCCAUAGGAUGGGUCUGCGGCCGAUUAGGUUGUUGUUGGGGUAACGGCCCAACAAGCCUGUAAUCGGUACGGGUUGUGGGAGCAAGAGCCCGGAGAUGGAUUCUGAGACACGAAUCCAGGCCCUACGGGGCGCAGCAGGCGCGAAAACUUUACAAUGCGGGAAACCGUGAUAAGGGAACUCCGAGUGCCCGUAAAAUCGGGCUGUCCAUCUGUUUAAAUAACAGGUGAAGAAAGGGCCGGGCAAGACCGGUGCCAGCCGCCGCGGUAAUACCGGCGGCUCGAGUGGUGGCCACUAUUACUGGGCUUAAAGCGUUCGUAGCUGGUUUGUUAAGUCUCUGGGGAAAUCUGCCGGCUCAACCGGCAGGCGUUCCAGGGAUACUGGCAGACUAGGGACCGGGAGAGGUGAGGGGUACUCCAGGGGUAGGAGUGAAAUCCUGUAAUCCUUGGGGGACCACCUGUGGCGAAGGCGCCUCACCAGAACGGCUCCGACAGUGAGGGACGAAAGCUGGGGGAGCAAACCGGAUUAGAUACCCGGGUAGUCCCAGCCGUAAACGAUGCGCGUUAGGUGUAUCGGUGACCACGAGUCACCGAGGUGCCGAAGAGAAAUCGUGAAAC
RNAcentral lists this ribosomal RNA (730 nucleotides) under uncultured Methanomicrobiaceae archaeon. Its description in RNAcentral is "bacterial SSU rRNA". It matches the Rfam family "Archaeal small subunit ribosomal RNA", at positions 85 to 820 of the family's 1478-position model. The record is from RNAcentral. Lineage: Archaea; Methanobacteriati; Methanobacteriota; Methanomicrobia; Methanomicrobiales; Methanomicrobiaceae.